GAUGAACGCUGGCGGCGUGCUUAACACAUGCAAGUCGAACGGAAAGGCCCAACCUUGCUUGGGUCCUCGAGUGGCGAACGGGUGAGUAACACGUGGGUGAUCUGCCCUGCACUUCGGGAUAAGCCUGGGAAACUGGGUCUAAUACCGGAUAGGACCAUGGUCUGGAUGCCAUUGUGGAGAGAUUUUCCGGUUUGGGAUGGGUUCGCGGCUUAUCAGCUUGUUGGUGGGGUAGUGGCUUACCAAGGCGUCGACGGGUAGCCGGCUGGGGAGGGUGUCCGGCAAAAUGGGGAUGGGAAUAGGGCCAAGAUCCCUAGGGGAGGAAGAAGUGGGGAAUAUUCAAAAUUGGGGCGAAGCCUGUUCAACGACGGCGGGGGGGGGGAUACGGGCUUUGGGGUGGAAAAUCGCUUCGGUAGGGGCGGAGCGGUGAGGUGAGGUAACGGGUAGAAGAAGAACGGGUUAACUACGU
RNAcentral lists this ribosomal RNA (466 nucleotides) under uncultured bacterium. Its description in RNAcentral is "partial 16S ribosomal RNA". It matches the Rfam family "Bacterial small subunit ribosomal RNA", at positions 28 to 506 of the family's 1533-position model. The record is from RNAcentral.